Small nuclear RNA from Pan paniscus (pygmy chimpanzee), 184 nucleotides. Its record names the gene U1. It matches the Rfam family "U1 spliceosomal RNA". From Rfam's summary of the family: U1 is a small nuclear RNA (snRNA) component of the spliceosome (involved in pre-mRNA splicing). Its 5' end forms complementary base pairs with the 5' splice junction, thus defining the 5' donor site of an intron. Lineage: Eukaryota; Metazoa; Chordata; Mammalia; Primates; Hominidae. The record is from Ensembl.
UCACUUCCUACCAGGUCCUUCCCUUGACAUGUGGGGAUUACAAUUCCAGAUGAGAUUUGAGUGGAACAGAGCCAAACCGUCUCACUUGCACCCCGGAUGUGCUGACCCCUGUGAUUUCCCCAAGUGUGGGACACUCGCCUGCAUAAUUUGUGGUAGUGGGGGACUGCAUUCAUACUUUCCCCUG